UAGAAAUGACUGCUAAUACCGCAUAAGCGCACAGUAUCGCAUGAUACAGUGUGAAAAACUCCGGUGGUAUGGGAUGGAUCCGCGUCUGAUUAGCCAGUUGGCGGGGUAGAGGCCCACCAAAGCGACGAUCAGUAGCCGACCUGAGAGGGUGACCGGCCACAUUGGGACUGAGACACGGCCCAAACUCCUACGGGAGGCAGCAGUGGGGAAUAUUGCACAAUGGGGGAAACCCUGAUGCAGCGACGCCGCGUGAGCGAAGAAGUAUUUCGGUAUGUAAAGCUCUAUCAGCAGGGAAGAAGAAAGUGACGGUACCUGACUAAGAAGCUCCGGCUAAAUACGUGCCAGCAGCCGCGGUAAUACGUAUGGAGCAAGCGUUAUCCGGAAUUACUGGGUGUAAAGGGAGAGUAGGCGGCAUGGUAAGCAAUAUGUGAAAGCCUCGGGCUUAACCUGAGGAUUGCAUAAUGAACUAUCAAGCUAGAGUACAGGAGAGGAAAGCGGAAUUCCUAGUGUAGCGGUGAAAUGCGUAGAUAUUAGGAAGAGCACCAGUGGCGAAGGCGGCUUUCUGGACUGAAACUGACGCUGAGGCUCGAAAGCGUGGGGAGCGAACAGGAUUAGAUACCCUGGUAGUCCACGCCGUAAACGAUGAGUGCUAGGUGUCGGGGAGGA
Molecule: ribosomal RNA, 666 nt
Filed under: uncultured bacterium
Lineage: Bacteria
Description: bacterial SSU rRNA
Rfam family: Bacterial small subunit ribosomal RNA
Source: RNAcentral